This 493-nucleotide ribosomal RNA is filed under the name uncultured bacterium. RNAcentral's name for it is "partial 16S ribosomal RNA". It matches the Rfam family "Bacterial small subunit ribosomal RNA", at positions 28 to 506 of the family's 1533-position model. The record is from RNAcentral.
GACGAACGCUGGCGGCGUGCUUAACACAUGCAAGUCGAACGGAAAGGCCUGCUUUCCCUUGUGGAUUGCGGGUACUCGAGUGGCGAACGGGUGAGUAACACGUGAGUGAUCUGCCCCCAACUUGGGUAUAAGCCUGGGAAACUGGGUCUAAUUCCCGAUAGGACUGCAGGGUGGUGCCUGUGGUGGAAAACGAUUUUCUAGUGGUUGGGGAUGAGCUCGCGGCCUAUCAGCUUGUUGGUGGGGUAAUGGCCUACCAAGGCGGCGACGGGUAGCCGGCCUGAGAGGGUGGACGGCCACCUUGGGACUGGGAUACGGCCCAGACUCCUACGGGAGGCAGCAGUGGGGAAUAUUGCACAAUGGGCGGAAGCCUGAUGCCGCGACGCCGCGUGGGGGAUGACGGCCUUCGGGUUGGAAACUCCUUUCGACCGCGAGGAAGCCACCUGGUUGGAAGGGUGGUGACGGUAGUGGUAGAAGAAGCACCGGCUAACUACGU